AUGGUUAAGCUAAUAAGAGCACACGGAGGAUGCCUAGGCGCCAGGAGCCGACGAAGGACGUGGCGAACAACGAAACUGCCUCGGGGAGCUGUAAGCAAGCUUUGAUCCGGGGGUGUCCGAAUGGGGAAACCCAGCUGUGGUAAUUCGCAGUUACUCAUACCUGAAUACAUAGGGUGUGUAGAGGCA
Molecule: ribosomal RNA, 186 nt
Filed under: Paenibacillus sp. P32E
Lineage: Bacteria; Bacillati; Bacillota; Bacilli; Caryophanales; Paenibacillaceae
Description: partial 23S ribosomal RNA
Rfam family: Bacterial large subunit ribosomal RNA
Source: RNAcentral